This 358-nucleotide ribosomal RNA is filed under the name Syntrophaceae bacterium CG2_30_49_12. Its description in RNAcentral is "bacterial LSU rRNA". It matches the Rfam family "Bacterial large subunit ribosomal RNA", at positions 2578 to 2925 of the family's 2925-position model. The record is from RNAcentral. Lineage: Bacteria; Pseudomonadati; Thermodesulfobacteriota; Syntrophia; Syntrophales; Syntrophaceae.
UGUUCGCCGAUUAAAGUGGUACGCGAGCUGGGUUUAGAACGUCGUGAGACAGUUCGGUCCCUAUCUGUUGUGGGCGCAGGAUAUUUGAGAGGAGCUGUCCCUAGUACGAGAGGACCGGGAUGGACGAACCUAUGGUGUUCCAGUUGUCGUGCCAACGGCAUCGCUGGGUAGCUAAGUUCGGAAGGGAUAACCGCUGAAAGCAUCUAAGCGGGAAGCCCACCUCAAGAUAAGAUAUCCCUCUUGAUGGAGACAUCAAGACUGAAGACCCCUUAUAGACGAUAAGGUUGAUAGGUCAGGUGUGUAAGCACAGUGAUGUGUUGAGCUAACUGAUACUAAUCGGUCGUGAGGCUUGACCAUA